This 71-nucleotide transfer RNA is filed under the name Stegodyphus dumicola. RNAcentral's name for it is "tRNA-Ala". It matches the Rfam family "tRNA". Rfam says of the family: Transfer RNA (tRNA) molecules are approximately 80 nucleotides in length. Their secondary structure includes four short double-helical elements and three loops (D, anti-codon, and T loops). Lineage: Eukaryota; Metazoa; Arthropoda; Arachnida; Araneae; Eresidae. The record is from RNAcentral.
GCCUUCGUAGUGUAACGGUAGCACACUCGGCUCGCAUUCGAGAGGUCCAGGUUCGAGACCCGGCGAGGGCG